Molecule: RNA transcript, 3758 nt
Organism: Tripterygium wilfordii
Lineage: Eukaryota; Viridiplantae; Streptophyta; Magnoliopsida; Celastrales; Celastraceae
Exons: 26
Source: RefSeq, a predicted model, not a curated record
AUUAGGAAUCAGGUGGAGGAAAAACAAGCGGGAGCCUGACGCUUUGAAGGGAAAUAAUUGUGGCCUGCGUGGGAAGUGAACGGUAAAGCGCUUCCCAACAGAUUUAUUACCGAAAAAGCCCAUGAUUCAGCGAUUUCUCUUGCUUAUUUAAUUCGAUCCUCACGCUCACGCGAAUUGCGUAAUAAAGAGAAGCGAUUCUAGAGCUGCAGGUGUCGGAUUGGGGUUUGGGGUUUUGUCGAGGCUCCAAACAUGGACGACGGCGUUGUUCAGCGAGUUUUUCAGCAAGGAGGCCGAGACUACGAAUCCUCCUCAACUUCUUCCAUUCUCCAAUCUCUUCCCCUCCAUGCGUCUUUUGAUCAUGGGUAUUACUUGUUAGUAAAAUCCAUUCAAGAACUCAGACAGAAAAAAGAUGGUCUUGUUACGGUUGGUAUUGGCGGUCCUAGCGGUUCUGGUAAAACAAGCUUAGCUGAGAAGGUUGCAUCUGUAAUUGGUUGCACUAUUAUAUCAAUGGAGAACUAUCGCGAUGGUGUUGAUGAAGGGAAUGUUUUGGACUCAAUAGAUUUUGAUACAUUGGUACAAAAUCUCGAGGACUUGACAAAAGGCAAAGAUACUAUGAUACCUGUGUUUGAUUACCAACAAAAGAAAUGCAUUGGUUCCAAGGCAAUAAAAAGUUCUUCAUCUGGGGUGGUAAUAGUUGAUGGUACCUAUGCUCUGAAUGCAAGAUUGCGCUCUUUGCUAGAUAUACGGGUUGCAGUGGUUGGUGGUGUUCACUUUAGUCUCCUUUCUAAAGUCCGAUAUGACAUUGGGGAUUCUUGUUCCCUGGAUUAUCUUAUUGACAGCAUUUUCCCACUGUUCAGAAAGCACAUUGAGCCAGACCUUCAUCAUGCACAAAUUAGAAUAAACAACAGCUUUGUUUCAUCAUUUAGAGAAGCAAUCUACAAGCUGAAGCGUAGAAGUGAGACACCAGACGGGCAUUCUGCCUUUGCCUUUCAAGAAAAUGAAGCUCAAAAAGAUAAUUUUAUUGAGAUGUAUCUUAGGCCUCCAUCGGCAAGUGAAGAGGCGCGGAUAAAUGAUUGGAUUAAGGUGCGGCAAUCUGGUAUAAGGUAUUAUCUGUCGCUUGGGGACCAGAGGAUUGUUGAAAAAAGUUUCAUUAUCAGGCCAAAAGCUGAAUUUGAGGUUGGGCGUAUGACACUCGGUGGAUUGCUGGCUUUGGGGUAUACUGUUGUUGUCAGCUAUAAACGGGCAUCAGUAUCUGUUAAUAUCGGCAGUCUUUCAUUAUCACGUGAAACCAUUGACACUCUUGAUGAGACGUACAUGGUGCUGAGGGGCACGGAUAGGAAAACAGUUGGAGCUGAAGCACUGAAGAUGGCUAUCAAUGGCCCAUGGAUCACCAAAUCAUAUCUGGAGAUGAUUCUUGAGAGAAAAGGUGUACCACGUCUUAAUACACCACCGCCUAUUUCCAGCUCAUCUAUAGCUAUUAACCAAGAAAGGGUGAUUGCUGCCCCAAGGCCAAUUCGUACUACUCCAAACCUUGUUACUCGGCUUGAAGACCUAUCUCAGCCUUGGACACGAUCACCAACAAAAUCGAAAAUGGAACCUGUAUUAGCAACGUGGCAUUUCAUCUCAUCAGAUCCAUCGCAUGCUGAUAGCUCAGGAAUAGAUUCAUCUUCUUUCAGGGAUACAAUAAAGCUUGCUCCAAUGCCUGAUUCAUAUGACCUAGAUAGAGGACUGCUUCUUUCAGUUCAAGCCAUACAAGCCUUGUUGGAGAAUAAAGGUCUCCCUGUUGUGGUUGGAAUUGGAGGUCCAAGUGGAUCUGGGAAAACUAGUUUGGCUCACAAAAUGGCAAAUAUUGUUGGUUGCGAAGUAGUUUCCCUUGAAAGCUAUUUUAAAUCUGAACAAGUGAAGGAUUAUAAGUAUGAUGACUUUAGCUCUCUUGAUCUAUCUUUGCUUUCUAAGAACAUUGAUGACAUCCUGAACCGUCGAAGAACAAAAGUACCCAUUUUUGACUUGGAGACUGGUGCUCGUAGUGGCUUCAAGGAGCUUGAAGUUUCUGAAGAUUGUGGCGUGAUAAUUUUUGAAGGUGUUUACGCUCUGCAUCCUGAGAUCCGAAAGUCACUUGACUUGUGGAUUGCUGUUGUUGGAGGUGUUCAUUCGCAUCUGAUUUCUCGAGUUCAGAGGGACAAGAGUAAAGUGGGGUGCUUCUUAUCUCAAAAUGAGAUCAUGAUGACGGUGUUUCCCAUUUUCCAGCAGCACAUUGAACCUCAUCUCGUUCAUGCACAUCUAAAGAUUCGAAAUGACUUUGAUCCGGUGCUUUCCCCCGAGAGUUCGUUGUUUGUUUUAAAGACUAACAAGCAAGUAGCUUACCAAGAUAUUUUAAAAGUCCUAGAUCCUGCAAAGUUUUGUAGUUCUGUUCAGAAUUUCAUUGAUAUAUACUUGAGGCUUCCGGGAAUUCCAACUAAUGGGCAAUUAACAGAGAGUGAUUGCAUACGUGUCAGAAUAUGUGAGGGUAGAUUUGCGUUGCUUAUACGAGAGCCCAUAAGAGAGGGGGAUUUCAUCAUUCAGCCCAAAGUGGAUUUUGAUAUUAGCAUCAGUACAGUGGCCGGCCUUCUUAACCUUGGGUAUCAAGCUGUCACAUAUAUUGAAGCAUCCGCAUACAUAUACCAGGAUGGAAAGAUUCUUAUUGAGGUUGAUCAUCUACAAGAUUCCCCUAGCCCUUACCUUCAGAUCAAAGGGGUUGAUAAGGAGGCUGUGGCUGCUGCUGGUUCAAUGCUUAAACUGGAUGCUUCAUAUACAACGAAGAGUUAUCUUCAAAUAAUUUUGGAAAGACUACCACCCGUUGAGAGGAGUUCCAACGGAAUCCAUGCUCAGCAAGCUGCAAGGUUGCAAGAACUUGUUGAGUUUAUACAAUCUCAGGCGGAAAAUGCUAAUUUUAGUUGGGAUAUUGUUGUCCAACUACCAGGGAAGCAGUUCAGCUUCAGAAUCCUCACAAAGUAGGGAGGCUUCCCCUCUGGAAGGCAUAAUUGAAGAAAUGCAGUGCAGGAUAAGAAGGCUUGAACGAUGGCAUACUAUUAACACGGUACUAUGGACUUUCCUGAUGUCUGCCCUUGUUGGUUAUUCACUUUACCAGAGAAAGCGGCAGUAAUACUGAUUAUGGCUUGUCGAGCCAGCGGAUUUUGCUUUGUCAAAGAGCUUUUCUCGUUGAAUUUCUCACGGGAGUUCUUUGAACUGCUUACUUGGAUUCUUGACACAGUUUACAUUUAGCGUCCAGUUCCUCCAGGAGCGGGUGAUAGUGAGGUACUUUAACCUCAAAGCAAAAUUUUUAGUUGCUCAGUGGCUCCGAGUUGUGAAUUCUUAAUUUUGAGGGGAGUGAGUGUUUGGAGAGGCGAUUAUUAGAAUUAAAGAUAUCAAAGGUAGUAUAUGCAUAAAUGGCAAAGGUGGUAUAUGCUCUUUAUGCGUUGAAUUUGUGUUCAUAAUUUCUGGUGACUAAUUAGAAUUUUGAUCCCUUGGUAUAUUCUCCACACAUUUUACGUAUUAAUGUGAUUGACGCAAGUCAAGCAGAAGCUGCAGUUAAUCUUCACCCGGACUUCUGAAUUCUCACAGGUAAUUGUUUUUUUUCGGGUCACAUUGCUCAUUGCUAACUUUUAUAUUAUAGGCGAGUAUGUGGCUUAGUGGUAGAGUUGCAGAUGUACAAUGACUUGUAGUCCUUGUCCUUUGCAUUGUUCUUUUAUUUACGUUGAUCCUGUACUGGUUUUUAUGUU